CAGCGAGCCUGCUUCUGGGUCAGCCUCUGAGCCAGUGUGCUUUACUGUAAGCGUUAGAAACAUGACUUCUAACAUUACAGUUAAAGGAGGAAUGAUAUAUUUCAGUGAAGAAUCCCAGCUCAACGGGGCUCUUCUGAGAACUGCAGAAAACAGCUCUGGACUCCUCCCUCGGAGCACCCGCCCAGCUUCCCUCUCCUGGCGCAAAACCUUGAUGCAAGCGGCGUGUGCCACAGUCCCAGGGUCCUCUGGCUCGUUUGUAAAUCUGUCAGCUGAGGCUACCAACAAGUUCAGAACAAGUGCUGAACGUGGGGGACAGCGCGGCCACAGACACCCAGUGAGGGUGAGUCUUGUCUGGCAGAGAAGGGCGAGGCUGGGACGUGGCAGCCGGACUCAGCUUGACCACAAAUCUCUGCCCAGUGAAGGCCGCCAUGCCACUGAAUCCUGGGAAGAAAGCAACACAAACGCCUAAACUGGAAGGAGUAAAGGUGCCCUGCAAGGUAGGUCAAGGCUUCAACGGGUAAAUCUAGGUGGAAAUGGAUCCCAACCAUAGCACGGACCUCACAGGGCAGCAUGUGGGGUUCAGCCCAGCCUCCACCGAUGGGCAGGGACAUGGGGCUCCGGCAGCCCCGGGGCAGAGGAGAAAUGCAGCCAGCCCAGGGCCACGUGCUGGCUGAGCCUGAGAGCACCACGGGGACAGCCUCAGCCAGGCACUGCAGCUUCCGGCAGAGAAGCCCACCGGCACAGGUGGUAAAAAUAAAGACUGAAGAACCAGAAAGAGAAAGUAUUAACAAAAAUGCCAGUGAUCAACAAAGUGGAAAAAUUGAAUUUGUGUUCAAAGUAAUGAUAUUAAAAGGCAUUUGAAAAAUGCAACUGUCAAAAAUAAGUUUAUAAAAUAAAGGACAUAAUAGAAAA
RNAcentral lists this long non-coding RNA (912 nucleotides) under Homo sapiens (human). RNAcentral's name for it is "HSALNT0299781". The record is from RNAcentral. Lineage: Eukaryota; Metazoa; Chordata; Mammalia; Primates; Hominidae.